GACGAACUGCCCAAACGUUGUUCGGAAUCACUGGGCUUAAAGGGCGCGUAGGCGGCAUAUCAAGUCAGGGGUGAAAUCCGGCAGCUCAACUGUCGAAGUGCCUUUGAUACUGAUGUGCUAGAGGGAGGUAGGGGUGUGUGGAACUUCCGGUGGAGCGGUGAAAUGCGUUGAUAUCGGAAGGAACGCCGGUGGCGAAAGCGACACACUGGAUCUCAUCUGACGCUGAGGCGCGAAAGCUAGGGGAGCAAACGGG
Molecule: ribosomal RNA, 253 nt
Filed under: uncultured bacterium
Lineage: Bacteria
Description: partial 16S ribosomal RNA
Rfam family: Bacterial small subunit ribosomal RNA
Source: RNAcentral